CCAGGCCGAGGGGCGGGGGCGUCCCCGGGCCCUGGCGCGGCGCCUGGAGCUCCUGCUGCUGGAAGCGCCAUGUGACCGUGACUCUGCACAAGCCGGGAACGCGGAGAAACAAAGGGCGGCUCAGCGGCCACCGGGCGCUCAGGCUGGCACGGAGGGCCCGGCCCCAACCCCAACCGGGGCCCCGCACUCUUGUCCCUACGGACCCUCGGUGCCCAGGGCGAGCAGGGAGGCGCCGGAUCCUGCUGAGGCCCGGGGCGGGGAGCGCGGCCUCCCAGGGAGCUGGGGAGGGAGGGCAGGCCUGAGGACGCUGAAAUGCAAGUGCGAGGCGGGGUGGGCGAUGUCGGGUCCGGGCUGGGCCGUGGAGUGUUGCAGGUUCCUUCCUCACGGCUGGCUCUGGCAAAUGACCCUCCCUGAACCUCUGUUUCUGUAAUAGAGGUGAAGAUAAUCGUCCCCACGCAAUUAUCCUAGGGUUAGGAGGCUUAAGGGAGGCGUCCCAUGUAGAGCGGUGAGGACAGCACAGGGUUGUCGGGCCGCAUUCUAGCUCCUCUCCCACAUAAACAUGCACAGGAUUUCGGGUCACUGAGCUGCCACUUUCCAGUCACAGCAGGGAUGUAGUUCCGGCCAGAGCACCAGGAAGAGGAGCAGGAUGGGGCAGCUGGCACAGGGCGGAGCCAGGGUGGGCACCGCUGCGUAUAUGGAGAGGGGAUUAGCACUGGGGCUCUAGCAGAAGCGGGGAGAUAGGAAAUCCCAAGACAGCCUGGUUAUCCGGCCCUGGCUCUCUCCCGGCCCUGGAUGGGAGUGGCUUGUCUCCUAGUCACUUUCCCCAGCCCAGGGGGAACAAAGGGGCUGGAGAGGGUGGGGGCCCACCUUGGAGUGGGCCUCAGGGUACAUUGAGACUCCUGCCUCCGCACCAGAUUUGCAGGUUUGACUUCUCCUGAGGAAGCCUCCACCCUAUGGCCACAAGGCCCUAGGGCCUGUAUUUACAGAGUUCUGAAUUUACCUGGCCCUAAAACCACGUGGCCUGUGCAUGCAUAAUAGAGGCCACAGCACAGAGCUCUUGAGGUAGUGGCCCAGUGGGGACUCUGGGCUUGGUCCCAGCUGGGGGACUGACGUUAAGGAUCUAGCCUCCGUUCCUUCCCUGCCUGGGGAAAAAGAGAAGAGGAGCAGUCCAGGCACUGGCGACAGCCUGUAAUAAGAGGCCCUGAGUGCCACCAAGAGCAUGGUUGGAGAGUGACUCAGCCUCGUUGGUGCCUCCUCAGCAUGCAGGACAGGACCAACUGCUGCUACUGCCCACUAUUGUGUAUCCAGGACCUGGAAUACGAUUAGCCCUAGCUAAUCACCAACUGGGGGAUCAAGUGCUGGAGAAAUGCCAUUUGGUGAAGAAGCCCAUGGAUUGCCAAGAGUGGUUUGCCUGUCUCCAAUGGCCCGGAAGGACCUAUAGGGUGAAGUGUGAGAAUCGGUACUUCAAGAAUCCUCCUCAAAUACGAAGGAUGUGAGAGGAGCCAGCCGCUACCUGCCUACCGCAGUCUGCUCAGCGUGGACUGGCUCCACUUCCUGCUUCCUCAUUCUGCUCAAGGUGUCACCAUGCUUACGGUCGAGGACACCGAUCUGGGCCCGGGAUCUCACCUGACUCUCUCCAGGCUCCCCAAGGACCAAAGCUCUAUUGUGGGAUCAAGGCCCCAUCUGCCUUCCUGGAGUUCCAACCAUGGCCUGCUGCCAAGUCCUGCUCCCCACCACCCUCCAUUGCCUUGUUCCCCCUGGAUUUCCACCACAGGUAACGGUGUGAAGUCAGGGUGAACUUAAUUGGGGUGAAGGAUGACUGCUGCAUUAAAUUGGAUGGAACUGGUCUGUUCAACCACUGCCCAUUAAAAAUGGUGGCCUUUCUUUAACAUAGCCAUAAUGAGACCAUCCCUCCAGAGAAAAGUGCUAAUAGAAUCACCCGCCUUGAAUGCUUAACUCUUACUCAAUGCCUUGACCUGGACGUCUGAUAGACAUGGCCCACAUACUAUCUAAAAUCAAACCUUUUCUUCCCCCCAAACCUGCUCAUUCCACAGCGUUCCCUAGCUCAGUAAAAGACUACAUGGCACCUUCGUUCUUUCAGUGCUCAGACCAAAACCAGUUUAAGGUCUCCUUUGAUGUGUUUCCUUUACUCACACUCUACAGUAAAUAUAUCAGUAAAUCCUUCAUUGGCUCUACCUUCAAAAUAUAUCCACCACUUCCCCUGCUGCCACUGUUCCUAGCCACUGAAGUCUUGACCAUGACCUCCCAGGCUCCAUGUCAUCUGGCCCACUGCCACCUCCCUGGUCUCAUCUCCUGCCACUCUGCCUACUUUGCUCCUGCUGCACUGGCCUUCUUGCUGGUCCUCAGGCACCACAGCCCACUCUUGCCUCGAGGCCUUUGCCCUGCUGUCCUCUCACUUGGAAUUUUCUCCCCGGGCACUCACAAUGCUGGCUUUCUCAUUUUCUUGUGGUCCCUGCCCAGAUGUCACUUCCUCAGUGAGACCUCCAGACCACCCUAUUUAAGGUAAACCCUCCCACAUUCAAUACUCCCACACGCUAGAUCCCUCUUUGCGUUUUUUUUGUUGUUGUACUUAUCACGACUUGGCAUAUCAUCUGUG
Molecule: long non-coding RNA, 2617 nt
Organism: Equus caballus (horse)
Lineage: Eukaryota; Metazoa; Chordata; Mammalia; Perissodactyla; Equidae
Source: Ensembl